Molecule: ribosomal RNA, 844 nt
Filed under: Brevibacterium sediminis
Lineage: Bacteria; Bacillati; Actinomycetota; Actinomycetes; Micrococcales; Brevibacteriaceae
Description: bacterial SSU rRNA
Rfam family: Bacterial small subunit ribosomal RNA
Source: RNAcentral
CGCUGAAGCCGACAGCUUGCUGUUGGUGGAUGAGUGGCGAACGGGUGAGUAACACGUGAGUAACCUGCCCCUGAUUUCGGGAUAAGCCUGGGAAACUGGGUCUAAUACCGGAUACGACCUUUCCUCGCAUGAGGGUUGGUGGAAAGUUUUUCGAUCGGGGAUGGGCUCGCGGCCUAUCAGCUUGUUGGUGGGGUAAUGGCCUACCAAGGCGACGACGGGUAGCCGGCCUGAGAGGGCGACCGGCCACACUGGGACUGAGACACGGCCCAGACUCCUACGGGAGGCAGCAGUGGGGAAUAUUGCACAAUGGGGGAAACCCUGAUGCAGCGACGCAGCGUGCGGGAUGACGGCCUUCGGGUUGUAAACCGCUUUCAGCAGGGAAGAAGCGAAAGUGACGGUACCUGCAGAAGAAGUACCGGCUAACUACGUGCCAGCAGCCGCGGUAAUACGUAGGGUACGAGCGUUGUCCGGAAUUAUUGGGCGUAAAGAGCUCGUAGGUGGUUGGUCACGUCUGCUGUGGAAACGCAACGCUUAACGUUGCGCGUGCAGUGGGUACGGGCUGACUAGAGUGCAGUAGGGGAGUCUGGAAUUCCUGGUGUAGCGGUGAAAUGCGCAGAUAUCAGGAGGAACACCGGUGGCGAAGGCGGGACUCUGGGCUGUAACUGACACUGAGGAGCGAAAGCAUGGGGAGCGAACAGGAUUAGAUACCCUGGUAGUCCAUGCCGUAAACGUUGGGCACUAGGUGUGGGGGACAUUCCACGUUCUCCGCGCCGUAGCUAACGCAUUAAGUGCCCCGCCUGGGGAGUACGGUCGCAAGGCUAAAACUCAAAGGAAUUGACGGGGG